GGUGACUUGCCGACCACAGAACGCUGUGGAAGGGACAUUCUGGGGCUUCCCAUCUCCAACAUAAGAAGGACUUGCUUCUGUGAGGUACUGAGCCACCCGUCCCUGGAGGAAAGCAAGAACAGAGCAGAUCAGAGCCCAGGCAGACAUCUUGGAUGAUGGGGUACAUCUUGCCAUCCAGAGGCAAUGCUGGAGCGGGCAGUUGUCUGCGGGGAGGCCCUGGCUCACUCUGGGCCAAAUAACAGGACUGAUUGCAGCCUGCGAUGAAACAUCCUGUUUCUCCCAACCAGAAACAGGUAGAGGAGCUGCUUUAGGAUGGAAGAUGAGGCUUGCUUUUUCUUUCUCCUAGAAGUCAGCAUUUUACAUGAUUCUGGGAGGGAAGAAAGGAGACAGGAACCAAGGAGCCUGAGUGGGGAUUUGCCCACCACUGGGCAGCCAGGCUCCCGUCAGGAAGGCUUUUCAGAGGGAGUGUUGGAAGGAGUCGUCGAGGAGUCUUCCUCACCCAGGAAGUCUUCCUCACCGGGUGAGCCCCAACCUGCUGGACCUGCUCAGAAUUUGCCCAACAGGGGAUCCUGGUUGACUGAGGUCUGCUAAUUCCAACUGGCCUACGCUAAAUUCUCCCAGAAUGUCUUCAUCAUCAAUGAAUCGCUUUCCACUGACACGACGCCUGGAAGAACAUAAACACUGUGAGGAUAAAUGCCAAUGAAAUAAUAAUAAAAUAAACUUUCUUU
RNAcentral lists this long non-coding RNA (728 nucleotides) under Homo sapiens (human). RNAcentral describes it as "HSALNT0371650". Lineage: Eukaryota; Metazoa; Chordata; Mammalia; Primates; Hominidae. The record is from RNAcentral.